RNAcentral lists this microRNA (22 nucleotides) under Callithrix jacchus (white-tufted-ear marmoset). RNAcentral's name for it is "cja-miR-616". Its record names the gene cja-miR-616. The record is from miRBase by way of RNAcentral. Lineage: Eukaryota; Metazoa; Chordata; Mammalia; Primates; Cebidae.
UCACUGGAGGAUUUUGAGCAGA